GGGGAGUUCUGCUAGCUUGGUAGGCUAUGUCCCUCGGGCGGACAUGACACGAGUUCAAAUCUCGUACUCCCCG
This 73-nucleotide transfer RNA is filed under the name Microcaldota archaeon. Its description in RNAcentral is "tRNA-Pro". It matches the Rfam family "tRNA". Rfam says of the family: Transfer RNA (tRNA) molecules are approximately 80 nucleotides in length. Lineage: Archaea; Nanobdellati; Microcaldota. The record is from RNAcentral.